GACGAACGCUGGCGGCGUGCUUAACACAUGUAAGUCGAACGGAAAGGCCCUGCUUUUGUGGGGUGCUCGAGUGGCGAACGGGUGAGUAACACGUGGGUAACCUGCCCUUGACUUUGGGAUAACUUCAGGAAACUGGGGCUAAUACCGGAUAGGAGCUCCUGCUGCAUGGUGGGGGUUGGAAAGUUUCGGCGGUUGGGGAUGGACUCGCGGCUUAUCAGCUUGUUGGUGGGGUAGUGGCUUACCAAGGCUUUGACGGGUAGCCGGCCUGAGAGGGUGACCGGCCACAUUGGGACUGGGGUACGGACCGGACGCCUACGGGAGGCAGCAGGGGGGAAUGUUGCACAAUGGGCUGAAGCCUGAUGCCGCAACGCCGCGUGCGGGAGGCCGGCCUUCGGGUUGUAAACCGCUUUCGCCGGUGACGAAGCGUGAGUGACGGUAAUGGGUAAAGAAGCACCGGCUAACUACGUG
This 468-nucleotide ribosomal RNA is filed under the name uncultured bacterium. RNAcentral describes it as "partial 16S ribosomal RNA". It matches the Rfam family "Bacterial small subunit ribosomal RNA", at positions 28 to 507 of the family's 1533-position model. The record is from RNAcentral.